RNAcentral lists this microRNA precursor (52 nucleotides) under Equus asinus (donkey). RNAcentral describes it as "mir-1302 microRNA precursor family". It matches the Rfam family "mir-1302 microRNA precursor family". Lineage: Eukaryota; Metazoa; Chordata; Mammalia; Perissodactyla; Equidae. The record is from Rfam by way of RNAcentral. RNAcentral also lists the same sequence under 1 other name.
UUUUUAGUAUAAGUAUGUCCCAUGCAGUAGUUGGGGCAUACUUAUGCUAGAA